This 469-nucleotide ribosomal RNA is filed under the name Microcardium tinctum. RNAcentral describes it as "Nemocardium tinctum partial 28S ribosomal RNA". The record is from RNAcentral. Lineage: Eukaryota; Metazoa; Mollusca; Bivalvia; Cardiida; Cardiidae.
CGGGUGGAGCCGUAAUGUCGCUCGUCCCGGGGCAUUCAGCUCGUUUUCCCGCAGCCGGGCCUACCUGGAUUGGCGUUGCGCACCCGCACUGUCGGGAGCGCUGCCGCCGGGGUUAUGGACAAGCCGGUGGUGGGACGGGUGCACUUGCUCCGGUAUGUCGAGAGCCACGACCGGUCUCUUCGCAGGCUGUGUGGACUCCGUUUGGUCGGGUUAACGGCGGUUCUAACCUGCUCACCACUCGUGGAGGGCUAAUUUGGACUGCUCCGACCGGGAGGGAUACUGGCCUGGAGAUCGAGGAACGCAGCCUUUUCCGGGAGUCUCCGUGUAAUUCUCGAGCCGUGUGCCCUUGCCGCUCCUCGUGGGCAGGCAAUACGGGCGCGAGGACGCAUCGGGAUGGUAUGCGGAUGGCGACCGGAGAUACCAGUGUUGCUUGUCGGUGGCAGAUAAGGUCGGUACUCCACCCGACCCG